CUACGGGAUGCUCCAGUGGGGAAUAUUGCACAAUGGGCGCAAGCCUGAUGCAGCCAUGCCGCGUGUAUGAAGAAGGCCUUCGGGUUGUAAAGUACUUUCAGCGGGGAGGAAGGGAGUAAAGUUAAUACCUUUGCUCAUUGACGUUACCCGCAGAAGAAGCACCGGCACACUCCGUGCCAGCAGCCGCGGUAAUACGGAGGGUGCAAGCGUUAAUCGGAAUUACUGGGCGUAAAGCGCACGCAGGCGGUUUGUUAAGUCAGAUGUGAAAUCCCCGGGCUCAACCUGGGAACUGCAUCUGAUACUGGCAAGCUUGAGUAUAGUAGAGGGGGGUAGAAUUCCAGGUGUAGCGGUGAAAUGCGUAGAGAUCUGGAGGAAUACCGGUGGCGAAGGCGGCCCCCUGGACGAAGACUGACGCUCAGGUGCGAAAGCGUGGGGAGCAAACAGGAUUAGAUACCCUUGUAGUC
Molecule: ribosomal RNA, 464 nt
Filed under: uncultured bacterium
Lineage: Bacteria
Description: partial 16S ribosomal RNA
Rfam family: Bacterial small subunit ribosomal RNA
Source: RNAcentral